GACGAACGCUGGCGGCGUGCUUAACACAUGCAAGUCGAACGGAAAGGCCCUGCUUUUGUGUCUCGCUCGAGUGGCGCACGGGUGAGUAAAACGUGAGUAACCUGCCCUUGACUUUGUGAUAACUUCAGGAAACUCGGGCUCAUAUCGCAUAGGAGCUUUUGCUGCAUGUUGGUGGUAGGAAAGUUUCGGCGGUUGGGGAUGGUCUCGCGGCUUCUCAGCUUGUUUGUGGAGUUGUGGCUUACCAAGGCUUUGACGGGUAGCCGGCCUGAGAGGGUGGCCGGCCACAUUGGGACUGAGAUACGGCCCAGACUCCUACGGGAGGCAGCAGUGGGGAGUAUUGCGCAAUAGGCGGAAGCCUGAUGCAGCAACGCCGCGUGCGGAAUGACGGCCUUCGGGUUGUAAACCGCUUUCGCCGGUGACGAGGCGUGAGUGACGGUAAUGGGUAAAGAAGCACCGGCUAACUACGUG
This 468-nucleotide ribosomal RNA is filed under the name uncultured bacterium. RNAcentral's name for it is "partial 16S ribosomal RNA". It matches the Rfam family "Bacterial small subunit ribosomal RNA", at positions 28 to 507 of the family's 1533-position model. The record is from RNAcentral.